Long non-coding RNA from Homo sapiens (human), 2877 nucleotides. Ensembl annotates it as long intergenic non-protein coding RNA 939. NCBI's taxonomy places the organism in Eukaryota, Metazoa, Chordata, Mammalia, Primates, Hominidae. The record is from Ensembl.
UGCCCACGGGCCCCGCCCUGCACUAGGCGGAAGCCCCCAAAGUAUCAGCGCCGCUUCGUGGAGCCUGGCGACUGCUUUGGGAAGUCCUGCUGGCAGGCACUCUGCCCCUGGGGGUGUGCAAAGAGUUGUCCAGUUACCUUGAUCUUCUCACAGCCUCCUCCCCAGGGCACCAGGAGAGACCAGGAUUGGAGGACGGUAAAGAACACACUUCCCAGAGGAUUCUUGGAGGUGGCUUCCUCCAGGCAGUAAAUCUACAGCCCAGGCUCCCUGCAUCUUAUGGCUCCAAUCACUUUGGAUCUCAUCGUCGCCUGCACAUUGCCAUACACAGGGAAGGAGAAGAGAUGGAGAAGGCAAAGACUUUCUGAAAGCCGUGGCUAAAAGCUGGCAUGUGUCACAUCAGCUCACAUUCCAUUGUAGAGACGGGGUUUCACCGUGUUAGCCAGGAUGGUCUUGAUAUCCUGACCUCGUGAUCCGCCCGCCUUGGCUUCCCAAAGUGCUGGGAUUACAGGCGUGAGCCACCGCUCCCGGCCUGGCAGGCAUUCUUGAGGCAAACGGGAAAUGGGUGAACGGGAGGAACAUUGGCAGCACUUGUGGUCUGCACCAAGAACUGAAUCGAAUUUCCAUGUGUUAUUGAAUGUUCACAAAGACCUUGUACAGCGAGUGUUACUACCUCUGGUCAAUGAUUCAACUCAAGGCUCAGAAAAGUCAAGUGUCUUGUCCAGGGACACUUAGUCAGAAGUGAAUCCAAGGUUUAAGCUCAAGUCUGCCUAACUCUGAAUUUCACAGCCUUUUGCUACAUAUGGCGAAUAAUAUAUCCCUGAGCACUAAAGGCAGACUCCAAGGAUCUUGUCUCUGCAAUCAUCAUUCUGGCCAUAAUUUAUGAAAAGCAACCCAAAGUAUGUGAUGUAAUAAAAAGUACUAUCUAUGAGUUUACCCUUCCAAAAAUUGAACUGAAUUCUGAGCUCUAAAUUUGGAAUCAAAAGAACUUUUCUCUGCACUAAUCAUUUGGAACAUCACUUAAAGAAAACAACGAAAAACUGGUGUCCCCUGAGAGAAAGCAAUACAAAACAUUAUGCAUAAAGAAAUCCUUCCAAAAAAUAAACCAAAUCCAGUCAAAUCUCUAGUUUUGACUCCUAGCUUACCGGAAAUACGUGAUGGGAAAAAAAUGAAAUGACACCACUAUGAUUCAAUCAGCCAAAUCCAGCAUAUGCAAAUUUCUACCAGAUAAAUGGUUUAGUUUCUUCCCCAAACAAAUGGCACAAGGAAACGGAGAUGGAGUUCCCCUCUGCCACCCAGACUGGAGUACAGUGGCGCGAUCCUGGCCAUCGCAACCUCCGCCUCCCAGGUUCAAGCGAUUCUCCUGCCUCAGUCUCUCAAGUAGCUGGGAUAUGGGCACCUGUCACCAUGCCCAGCUAAUUUUUUUAAAAUUUAUUUUUAGUAGAGAUGGGGUUUCACCAUGUUGGCCAGGCUGGUCUCGAACUCCUGACCUCAGGUGAUCCACCCACACUUUUUAUUGUUUGCCUACACUUUCUAGACUUGCUUCAUCAGCCUACUCCGUUUCUGGUUGAUAUGGUUUGGUUGUGUCCCCACUCAAAUCUUAUCUAGAAGUGUAAUCCCCAAGUCUCAAGGGAGGGACCUGGUGUGAGGUGAUUGGAUUGGGGGGUGGUUCCCGCCAUGCUGUUCUCAUGAUAGUGAGUGAGUUCUCAUGAGAUCUGAUGGUUUUAUAAGGCAGUUUUCCCUAUUCUUGCUCACUCUUCUCUCUCUUUCUGCCAUGUGAAGAAGGUCCUUGCUUCCCCUUCACCUUCUACCAUGAUUGUAAGUUUCCUGAGGCCUCCCCUCAGCCAUGCACAACUGUGAGUCAAUUAAACCUCUUUCCUUUAUAAAUUACUCAGUCUCAGGUCGUAUCUUUAUAGCAGUAUGAGAAUGGACUAAUACACUGGUCUAUCCUUCAUCCAAAUUAACUACCUGCACUGCAGUCCUUGUCUCAGGCUCUGCUUUGAGGGACCCCAACUGUGACAGCCGCAUUAGAAUGCAUCACAUACUGCAGUGAAAUUCUAGAGUGGGUGUUGUCAGGUGGUGAUGAUUGUUAGAUAUGUCAGUCUGUUUUCAGGCUGCUGAUAAAGACAUACCUGAGACUGGGUAAUUUAUAAAGGAAAAGGAGGUUUAAUGGACUCACAGUUCCACAUGGCUAGGGAGGCCUCACAAUCAUGGCAGAAGGUGAAAGGCACGGCUUACAGGGUGGCAGCAAGAGAGGAAAUGAGAACCAAGUGAAAAGGUUUCUGCUUAUAAAACCAUCAGCUCUUGUGAGACUUAUUCAUUACAAUGAGAACAAUAUGGGGGAAACUGCCCCCAUGAUUCAAUUAUCUCCCACCAGAUCCCUCCUACAACACAUGAGAAUUGUGGGUGCUACAAUUCAAGAUGAGAUUUGAGUGGGGACAAAGUCAAACCAUAUCAUUAGAUAGGACACUGGAGAAAGGCAAGAAAGAAAAGACAUCUGAAGAAUGAAGGGAGCCAAAGAAAUGCCAACAUUUUGCUUUUUGAAGAAAAGCUAAAUUAAAGUCAAAAUGGAUUUAUCAAUUUCCUUGGGUUCGUGAAUGUACAGAACUUUAUUAAGACUGUCAUGCUGUCAUCAUGGCUGGAUCUGAUACGGCCACCGUGGACCUUGAGGUGACCUCGGGAAUGGAGACAGUGCAUGGGAGAGAAUCACAUUGGAAGGGGCCUGGGUUUCUGAAGACCCUGUAAGACAGAUCUCCUUGCAGCCCUGACUGCCCACAUUAGGGCUUUUAUGUUAGGGUGAAGUUACCUUGCAUUGUCAUAUAAGCAAUUGCUAUUUGUGGUGUCUUGCAAAUAAACCUAUUCUGAUCUAGUAUGUUUCCU